This 649-nucleotide long non-coding RNA is filed under the name Amborella trichopoda. Its description in RNAcentral is "long non-coding RNA (ATRI_LNC004094)". The record is from RNAcentral. Lineage: Eukaryota; Viridiplantae; Streptophyta; Magnoliopsida; Amborellales; Amborellaceae.
GGGUUCUACGGAAUAGUGUCAUUAUAAAGUUUUAAAAAUACCACAGAAUUUACCAGUUUUAAAUGAAUUGUCUACACUCGUGCGACGUAAAAGAGCCAAGACAAUAUUACGUCUAACCUGUAAGACAAUAAAAAGAUCAGGUACCCAAUCUCAAUCAACGUCAAACCCAUGCGACGCAAAAGAAUCGGGGCUGGUAAAAAAAUAUCCAUCGCUGCAUCACGUAAAAUUGCUUAGAGGGGUCCAUGAUAGCACAAUCUUAAACCGCGUUCCAAACCUGUUUUCAAAAUUUCUCAUCUAUCUUCAAAGUUUCUUCAAUGUGUUUCAUGAAUUUUCAAAAGCCUUAAUUUCUUUGAUUAAAAAGUAGCCUGGAACUCUGUUUCUGAUUUUAAAGUUCUAUCUUCAAAAUUGCUAAAAUGUUUUAAAUAACUAAGGAAUUUCAUGGAGGCUUGGAGAUGAUGUUUCUGCUACCACAAAAUCCUAGAUUGUCAUGCUUGCAAACCCUUAGGAAAAACAACAACCAACCCAUAGGUUCCCAAACCAAAAAGCCUGAACCUAUAGACUGCAAGAAUCAGAAUCGAAGGUGAACCAAGAAGUUUAAUUAGCUAAGAAUUCAUCCCGUCAUUUCUUCUAAAUCAAACUCUCAUUCGAU